Nicotiana sylvestris (wood tobacco) is the source of this 71-nucleotide non-coding RNA. NCBI's taxonomy places the organism in Eukaryota, Viridiplantae, Streptophyta, Magnoliopsida, Solanales, Solanaceae. The record is from Rfam.
AUUCGUUGGAUGAACGUGAGGCAUUGGAUUGAUUUCGUUCAAUCCGAGCCCCACAGUCAUCCGGGGUUCGU